Molecule: ribosomal RNA, 500 nt
Filed under: uncultured bacterium
Lineage: Bacteria
Description: partial 16S ribosomal RNA
Rfam family: Bacterial small subunit ribosomal RNA
Source: RNAcentral
AUUGAACGCUGGCGGCAUGCCUUACACAUGCAAGUCGAACGGUAACGCGGGGUCAACCCUGGCGACGAGUGGCGAACGGGUGAGUAAUACAUCGGAACGUACCUGGUAGUGGGGGAUAGCCCGGCGAAAGCCGGAUUAAUACCGCAUACGCACCACGGUGGAAAGCGGGGGACCGCAAGGCCUCGCGCUAUCAGAGCGGCCGAUGGCAGAUUAGCUAGUUGGUGGGGUAAAAGCCUACCAAGGCGACGAUCUGUAGCUGGUCUGAGAGGACGACCCGCCACACUGGGACUGAGACACGGCCCAGACUCCUACGGGAGGCAGCAGUGGGGAAUUUUGGACAAUGUGGGAAACCCUGAUCCAGCGAUGCCGCGUGUGUGAAGAAGGCCUUCGGGUUGUAAAGCACUUUUGUUCGGGAAGAAAUCUGUCGGGCUAAUACCCUGGCGGGAUGACGGUACCGGAAGAAUAAGCACCGGCUAACUACGUGCCAGCCGCCGCCGUAA